GACAGAGGCCUCGAGCGUUAGGCGGAAUCACUGGGCUUAAAGCGUGUGUAGGCGGACCUCUAAGUACCUUGUGAAAUCCCACGGCUCACCCGUGGAACCGCUGGGUAUACUGGGGGUCUUGGGCCACUCAGGGGCGACUGGAACAAGCGGUGGAGCGGUGAAAUGCGUAGAUAUCGCUUGGAACGCCGAAGGUGAAAAACAGGUCGCUGGGAGUGCGCCGACGCUGAGACACGAAAGCCAGGGGAGCAAACGGG
This 254-nucleotide ribosomal RNA is filed under the name uncultured bacterium. Its description in RNAcentral is "partial 16S ribosomal RNA". It matches the Rfam family "Bacterial small subunit ribosomal RNA", at positions 524 to 776 of the family's 1533-position model. The record is from RNAcentral.